This 252-nucleotide ribosomal RNA is filed under the name uncultured bacterium. RNAcentral describes it as "partial 16S ribosomal RNA". It matches the Rfam family "Bacterial small subunit ribosomal RNA", at positions 524 to 776 of the family's 1533-position model. The record is from RNAcentral.
UACGGAGGAUGCGAGCGUUAUCCGGAUUUAUUGGGUUUAAAGGGUGCGCAGGCGGCACGGCAAGCCGGCGGUCAAAUCGCGGGGCUCAACCCCGCCCAGCCGUCGGAACUGCCGGGCUAGAGUGGGCGAGAAGUGCGCGGAAUGCGUGGUGUAGCGGUGAAAUGCGUAGAUAUCACGCAGAACUCCGAUUGCGAAGGCAGCGCACCGGCGCCCUACUGACGCUCAGGCACGAAAGCGUGGGUGUCGAACAGG